RNAcentral lists this long non-coding RNA (955 nucleotides) under Agrilus planipennis (emerald ash borer). Its description in RNAcentral is "uncharacterized LOC108740954, transcript variant X2". The record is from RNAcentral. Lineage: Eukaryota; Metazoa; Arthropoda; Insecta; Coleoptera; Buprestidae.
UAUCUAUGUUUAUGAUUCAUCUUGUCUCGAAAGUGAAAGUAAACCCACGCCACGUCGCCAUUUUAAUAUUUAGAAUUUUACAAUUUUACUUGCUUUUCUGUGCGUGUUUUUACUCAUUAUUAUGGUUUAUUUCUUUAUUACGAUAGUUAAUUUGCUUGUUCCUCAUUUCUACAGACUGAAGGUACAUGAGAGAGGAAAUCGAAGUUCAUUCUGAUGCUACUGAAGAAACAAGUAGUCUUAUGGUGUUCUUGCUAUUAACUAUUCAUCUUGGGUAUGCUGUAGUUAAUUAAGGACAUUAUGAAAACUGCGGGUACCAUUAAGUUAUGGAGCAUUGGUUGUAUCAGUCCUCAUUCGCUCCAGAAAGUAGGUCUAUCUAUGAUCCUAAAUAAAGCAUGAAAAUGCCUCUUUUCCAUUGGGUAUGGAGACAGUGUGUUGUUGCUAAAAGAAAGGAUUUAUGUCAUGAAUGUGAUGGUUCAUGAGAAGGAAUUCCAGUUAAUUUUUAAUGCUAAUAAAACAACCGAUGCUUUUCACGCAAGGGAGAGACAACUGGAAAUUAAUUUGGAAACCACUAAAACAACAGAUUGUCUGGAGUGAUAUCCCCUUUAGAACGCUACUUACUGCAAUUAACUAAGAUUAUCCAAGAAAAGAGAGAGAAUUAAAGUCAGUUUGGUUAUACUGAAACAGCCAGCCAAUGUCUACAUGGGUGUGGUCUUUCGUGGAUUAUAUUCUUGAUUUGCUGUUUUGUCUUCACCUUACCACACUAUACAGUCAAUUUUCAACCGCCGAGUGAGAGCAACUGGAGAUUUUUUUGAGUUCCUCUGAAAGAACAAAUUUUCUGCUGUGGUGUUCCUCCUGGUUUUAGUGUGCUUUUCACACAUACAAACUUUGGAAUUUUACAGUCUACAGUUAAUUAAGUUCGACGUUGGAGAAGACAAAGAUGACCCCAUAGUUGAAA